CCUACACAAAGGGGAAGGAAGGAGCAAUUCUCUUGUUUGAAACUUUGCUGCAUGGACUAAGGGAGUAUUUUUCUUCAUCAGCAGAGAGAAAAGUCAACAAAGGUCUGGUCAUGGUGAGGAAAGGAAGUUUCACAAAAGUUCAACGAAGAGGAGAGACAGGAAAAGAAAGGCAACUAAGCACAUUUUCUGAAUUAUUGGUCUAUAAAGCUAAAGCCUAAUUUUUCUAUCAGUCCAAGCAGACUUCGUUGUAAUUGAAGGCUGGCCACCCCGGGAAGUCUCGGACAACGACGUGUUUCUUGAGCCACGUCUUUUAAUAUCUCCUGACUGGAAGAUAAAGAAGAUGGUGUAGACAGCUUAAGGGCAGAAGGUGCAAGGAACAAAGACGACUUAACUGGAGAUGAAGUUCGAUUGAAAUGGGGCUGAGGACGCGUCUCC
This is a non-coding RNA of Equus caballus (horse), 435 nucleotides long. Lineage: Eukaryota; Metazoa; Chordata; Mammalia; Perissodactyla; Equidae. The record is from RefSeq and is a predicted model, not a curated record.